GAACCACACCCCCCUUCUUUUCUGUCCCAUCCUCCAUCACCCUCUCAUCCCGUGUCUUUCUUCACAGGUCAAACUGCGCAAGUCCAAAUGGAGGAAGAAGUCUGGCAGAGGAAGCAUGAUUUUCAUCAGCGAAGAAAAAGAGAGGAUGAGCACCUUGGACAGCAAACGGGUGAGUCCGGGCCGACCAGCAUGUCAAAAGGCUCGGCGUGGUUAAAAGAAAGGAACUUCAGCACUGCCGCUGCACGGAGGAACCUAAAGGAAGAGGCUAAAUGCGCGUGUGUGGUUCUCUGUCCACUCCUAGCUUUCAAAGAAGCAAGAGUUCCGCAGCGACACAAACCUAUCAGAGCCCAGUAUGGAGGGCAGCUUGGCCAGCAUUAACUCCAGAUCACUGCCUGCUAUAACUGGUCUGUCUCUGUCCGUAGCCAAUGGGAGUGAGGAGGUGGAGAAUGUGCGGUCCAAGCGAGAUAGUAAGAGUGUGUCUGUAUGUUUGCCAUCUGACCGCACCAGUGACCGCCGCUCAAAAGGGGUCAUCAGCCUGAUCUUUAAAUCCCGGGUAAUUUUACACACACACACACACACACCCACACACACACACACACACACACACACACACACACACACACACACACACACACACACAAACUGAUUUCAUCUUCUUGACAGAUCCUGUAUCUCUUACACUUCUUAUUCCUGAUACUCCAAACAAUGUCUGUUAUCUUAUGUGUGUAUAAUUCACAGCUGGGCUCCAAGGGUGAAGAGGGGAAACCAUCAGACUCUUCUGAAGAUGCCACACAUUUCUAACUUCUGUUCCAAAAAGACAAGUUAGGCCUGCUCGUGUACCUUCACUGUAGCAGCGUUAAGAGAGUUCCAAACAACCGAUACCAUAAAGGAAGUAGCAGGACCACGUCAGUGUCCUGGUUGACACUUUAUUAUGGGUGUAUGACGAUGUAAUGCUUGAUGCAUAAUCGUUAUGAAAUGAUGAGAUAAUUAUUUAAUGAUAGUCUGUAACACAGUUAAGCGCAGAAUCAUGAUAGCAGUUAUUAGCUGCUCAAACCGUGAUUCUAAUAAAAAAUAUUGCACAGCAAUGUAUUCGUCAUUAAAAUCAGAAUUUAGGUGCUCUUGUAUGUUUGAAAUGGGGGUAAUAGUGUGGGCUAAAACCCGAUUCCAUGAAGAGAGUUAGAGUUAGCCUUCACUUUUACAUCUAUCUAGUAUUGUAUUGGAUAUUAAUUUUAAAACAAAAACAAAUUGCUGUACCAGUUCCCAGGAACUUUUAUCAUUGUGAAUGCUACACAAACAAUUGUGAAUGUAAAGAUCAGAAGGAUUUUAAACUUAACUCCCAACCCUUGGCCAUUUUAAAAUAUCCACAUGUGAAUUUUAUUGUUGAUAAAUUAUCUUUUGAUAUGCUCUUGGAGCUCUUUGAGGACAAAUAAUCACAUCUGUAUAAAAAUGCUGAUGUUGUUACUGAGGGAAUGUUGAUGAAUGCUGAUAAAUGAUUUGAAAUCAUGGCUGUAUGAUGACCGCGCAGGGUCCAUCCUCUUACGCCCGGUGCGGAUCUCUGACCCUGCAGAGCUUUGGGCUAUUUCCCGUUUUGCAGCAGGGGGCCAGGCCUUGACAGCAGGCUCACUGUUUUUAACUUUGACUGUAAUCCCAUCCCAAAUAAAUAAAGUGUUAAUUUCAGGAAUUUGUCAUUUCCAUAUAUCUAUUGUCAUUGUCAAGACAGUGAUUGCUGGUUCAUAACUGACAGUUUUCAAGCUUUUCACCGGUUAUUUACAAAUUUUCUGUUUGGCAUCAGUUAAUCACAAAGUGAAUAGUUUUAGACAUUUGGAAUAAGAUUAUUAGUCAGAUAUUUAUGUAAAUGUAUAAAGGCAAUUAAGUCAUAAGUGUAGACAAUUUCCUGACAAAAUGUGCUACAGAAUCUGAAAUUGUCUUUGCUUUUUUCAUUCUUUUCUUUAGUAUAGUUCUGAGAAGUUGUAACUGACGACCGACUCAUCAAAGAAC
Long non-coding RNA from Electrophorus electricus (electric eel), 1998 nucleotides. Lineage: Eukaryota; Metazoa; Chordata; Actinopteri; Gymnotiformes; Gymnotidae. The record is from Ensembl.